UCAAAUUAAGCGGAGGAAAAGAAACUAACAAGGAUUCCCCUAGUAACGGCGAGCGAAGCGGGAAGAGCUCAAAUUUGAAAUCUGGUGGCCUCAGGUCAUCCGAGUUGUAAUCUAUAGAAGUGUUUUCCGUGCUGGCCCAUGUACAAGUCCCUUGGAACAGGGCGUCAUAGAGGGUGAGAAUCCCGUCCUUGACAUGGACUACCAGUGCUCUGUGAUACACUUUCAACGAGUCGAGUUGUUUGGGAAUGCAGCUCAAAAUGGGUGGUAAAUUCCAUCUAAAGCUAAAUAUUGGCGAGAGACCGAUAGCGAACAAGUACCGUGGAGGGAAAAGAUGAAAAGCACUUUGGAAAGAGAGUUAAACAGUAUGUGAAAUUUGUUGAAAGGGGAAACGAUUGAAGUCAGUCGUGCUCAAUGGGACUCAGCCCGUUCUGCGGUGUAUUUCCAUUGGGUGGGGUCAACAUCAGUUUUGAUCGCUGGAUAAAAGGCAGGAGGAAUGUAGCACCCCCGGGUGAACUUAUAGCCUCUUGUCACAUACACGGGUGGUUGGGACUGAGGAACGCAGCAUGCCUUUAUGGCCGGGAUUCGUCCACGUACAUGCUUAGGAUGUUGACAUAAUGCUUUAAACGACCCGUCUUAAA
This 638-nucleotide ribosomal RNA is filed under the name Filobasidium uniguttulatum. Its description in RNAcentral is "eukaryotic LSU rRNA". It matches the Rfam family "Eukaryotic large subunit ribosomal RNA", at positions 41 to 658 of the family's 3401-position model. The record is from RNAcentral. Lineage: Eukaryota; Fungi; Basidiomycota; Tremellomycetes; Filobasidiales; Filobasidiaceae.